UUGUUGGUGAGGUAAAGGCUUACCAAGGCUUCGAUCAGUAGCUGGUCUGAGAGGACGGCCAGCCACACUGGGACUGAGACGCGGCCCAGACUCCUACGGGAGGCAGCAGUGGGGAAUUUUGGACAAUGGGGGCAACCCUGAUCCAGCCAUGCCGCGUGAGUGAAGAAGGCCUUCGGGUUGUAAAGCUCUUUCAGCCGGAACGAAACGGUUACGGUUAAUACCCGUGACUACUGACGGUACCGGAAGAAGAAGCACCGGCUAACUACGUGCCAGCAGCCGCGGUAAUACGUAGGGUGCAAGCGUUAAUCGGAAUUACUGGGCGUAAAGCGUGCGCAGGUGGUUUUGUAAGUCAGAUGUGAAAUCCCCGGGCUUAACCUGGGAACUGCGUUUGAAACUACAAGGCUAGAGUGUGGCAGAGGGGGGUGGAAUUCCGCGUGUAGCAGUGAAAUGCGUAGAUAUGUGGAGGAACACCGAUGGCGAAGGCAGCCCCCUGGGUCAACACUGACGCUCGGGCACGAAAGCAUGGGGAGCAAACAGGAUUAGAUACCCUGGUAGUCCAUGCCCUAAACGAUGUCAACUAGUUGUCGGGCCUUAACGGGCUUGGUAACGUAGCUAACGCGUGAAGUUGACCGCCUGGGGAGUACGAUCGCAAGAUUAAAACUCAAAGGAAUUGACGGGGACCCGCACAAGCGGUGGAUUAUGUGGAUUAAUUCGAUGCAACGCGAAAAACCUUACCUACCCUUGACAUGUAUCGAAGCCCGCAGAGAAGCGGGUGUGCCCGAAAGGGAACGAUAACACAGGUGCUGCAUGGCUGUCGUCAGCUCGUGUCGUGAGAUGUUGGGUUAAGUCCCGCAACGAGCGCAACCCUUGUCAUUAAUUGCCAUCAUUUAGUUGGGCACUUUAAUGAGACUGCCGG
RNAcentral lists this ribosomal RNA (916 nucleotides) under uncultured bacterium. RNAcentral's name for it is "bacterial SSU rRNA". It matches the Rfam family "Bacterial small subunit ribosomal RNA", at positions 246 to 1155 of the family's 1533-position model. The record is from RNAcentral.